This 709-nucleotide ribosomal RNA is filed under the name uncultured bacterium. RNAcentral's name for it is "bacterial SSU rRNA". It matches the Rfam family "Bacterial small subunit ribosomal RNA", at positions 141 to 851 of the family's 1533-position model. The record is from RNAcentral.
GGAUAACCUUGCGAAAGUAAGACUAAUACCCAAUGAUAUCUCUAGAAGACAUCUGAAAGGGAUUAAAGAUUUAUCGGUGAUGGAUGGGGAUGCGUCUGAUUAGCUUGUUGGCGGGGUAACGGCCCACCAAGGCGACGAUCAGUAGGGGUUCUGAGAGGAAGGUCCCCCACAUUGGAACUGAGACACGGUCCAAACUCCUACGGGAGGCAGCAGUGAGGAAUAUUGGUCAAUGGGCGAGAGCCUGAACCAGCCAAGUAGCGUGCAGGAUGACGGCCCUAUGGGUUGUAAACUGCUUUUAUAAGGGAAUAAAGUGAGUCUCGUGAGACUUUUUGCAUGUACCUUAUGAAUAAGGACCGGCUAAUUCCGUGCCAGCAGCCGCGGUAAUACGGAAGGUCCGGGCGUUAUCCGGAUUUAUUGGGUUUAAAGGGAGCGUAGGCCGGAGAUUAAGCGUGUUGUGAAAUGUAGAUGCUCAACAUCUGCACUGCAGCGCGAACUGGUUUCCUUGAGUACGCACAAAGUGGGCGGAAUUCGUGGUGUAGCGGUGAAAUGCUUAGAUAUCACGAAGAACUCCGAUUGCGAAGGCAGCUCACUGGAGCGCAACUGACGCUGAAGCUCGAAAGUGCGGGUAUCGAACAGGAUUAGAUACCCUGGUAGUCCGCACGGUAAACGAUGGAUGCCCGCUGUUGGUCUGAAUAGGUCAGCGGCCAAG